GACGAACGCUGGCGGUGUGCUUCACACAUGCAAGUCGAACGAGGUAGCGAUACCUAGUGGCGGACGGGUGAGUAACGCGUGGGAAUCUGCCUUUAGAUGGGGGAUAACGGGUCGAAAGACUCGCUAAUACCGCAUAUGACGAAAGUUGAAAGGAGUAAUCCGUCUAAAGAUGAGCCCGCGUCCGAUUAGCUAGUUGGUAGAGUAAAAGCCUACCAAGGCGACGAUCGGUAGCUGGUCUGAGAGGAUGAUCAGCCACAAUGGGACUGAGACACGGCCCAUACUCCUACGGGAGGCAGCAGUGGGGAAUUUUACGCAAUGGGCGAAAGCCUGACGUAGCGACACCGCGUGAGCGAAGAAGCCCCUUGGGGUGUAAAGCUCUGUCAGCUGGAACGAAAAAAUAGACGGUACCAGCAGAGGAAGCAUCGGCUAACUACGUG
RNAcentral lists this ribosomal RNA (437 nucleotides) under uncultured bacterium. Its description in RNAcentral is "bacterial SSU rRNA". It matches the Rfam family "Bacterial small subunit ribosomal RNA", at positions 28 to 507 of the family's 1533-position model. The record is from RNAcentral.